GUCCACGCCGUAAACGAUGGGUGCUAGAUGUCACGGGCUUUGACCCCCGUGGUAUCGAAGCUAACGCGUUAAGCACCCCGCCUGGGGAGUACGGCCGCAAGGCUAAAACUCAAAGGAAUUCACGGGGGCCCGCACAAGCGGUGGAGCAUGUGGUUUAAUUCGACGCAACGCGCAGAACCUUACCUGGGCUAGAAAGUGCAAGAAUCUGGUUGAAAAAUCGGGGUGCUCUUCGGAGAACUUGCAGUUAGGUGCUGCAUGGCUGUCGU
Molecule: ribosomal RNA, 266 nt
Filed under: uncultured bacterium
Lineage: Bacteria
Description: partial 16S ribosomal RNA
Rfam family: Bacterial small subunit ribosomal RNA
Source: RNAcentral